RNAcentral lists this ribosomal RNA (806 nucleotides) under uncultured Pelagibacteraceae bacterium. Its description in RNAcentral is "bacterial SSU rRNA". It matches the Rfam family "Bacterial small subunit ribosomal RNA", at positions 33 to 887 of the family's 1533-position model. The record is from RNAcentral. Lineage: Bacteria; Pseudomonadati; Pseudomonadota; Alphaproteobacteria; Candidatus Pelagibacterales; Candidatus Pelagibacteraceae.
ACGCUGGCGGCACGCCUUAUACAUGCAAGUCGAACGAAGUAGCAAUACUUAGUGGCAGACGGGUGAGUAACAUGUAGGUAUCUUCCCUUUGGUGAGGAAUAACACGAGGAAACUUGUGCUAAUACCUCAUAAGUCUUUACGGAGAAAGCUUUAUGCGCCGAAGGAUGAGCCUGCACUUGAUUAGUUUGUUGGUGGGGUAAUGGCCUACCAAGACUUUGAUCUAUAGCUGAUCUGAGAGGAUGAUCAGCCACAUUGGGACUGAGACACGGCCCAAACUCCUACGGGAGGCAGCAGUAGGGAAUAUUGCACAAUGGAGGAAACUCUGAUGCAGCGAUGCCGCGUGAGUGAAGAAGGCCUUUGGGUUGUAAAGCUCUUUCGUCGGGGAAGAAAAUGACUGUACCCGAAUAAGAAGGUCCGGCUAACUUCGUGCCAGCAGCCGCGGUAAUACGAAGGGACCUAGCGUAGUUCGGAAUUACUGGGCUUAAAGAGUUCGUAGGUGGUUAAAAAAGUUGGUGGUGAAAUCCCAGAGCUUAACUCUGGAACUGCCAUCAAAACUUUUUAGCUAGAGUAUGAUAGAGGAAAGCAGAAUUUCUAGUGUAGAGGUGAAAUUCGUAGAUAUUAGAAAGAAUACCAAUUGCGAAGGCAGCUUUCUGGAUCAUUACUGACGCUGAGGAACGAAAGCAUGGGUAGCGAAGAGGAUUAGAUACCCUCGUAGUCCAUGCCGUAAACGAUGUGUGUUAGACGUUGGAAAUUUAUUUUCAGUGUCGCAGCGAAAGCAUUAAACACACCGCCUGGGGAGUACGACC